Molecule: ribosomal RNA, 372 nt
Filed under: uncultured organism
Description: bacterial SSU rRNA
Rfam family: Bacterial small subunit ribosomal RNA
Source: RNAcentral
CGUAGGGUGCGAGCGUUAAUCGGAAUUACUGGGCGUAAAGUGUGCGCAGGCGGCUCCGCAAGUCGAGUGUGAAAUCCCCGAGCUUAACUUGGGAAUUGCGCUCGAAACUACGGAACUGGAGUGUGGCAGAGGAAGGUGGAAUCCCACGUGUAGCGGUGAAAUGCGUAGAGAUGUGGAGGAACACCGAUGGCGAAGGCAGCCUUCUGGGCCAACACUGACGCUCAUGCACGAAAGCGUGGGGAGCAAACAGGAUUAGAUACCCUGGUAGUCCACGCCCUAAACGAUGAUGACUAGUUGUUGGAGGAGUUAAAUCCUUUAGUAACGCAGCUAACGCGUGAAGUCAUCCGCCUGGGGAGUACGGUCGCAAGAUUA